Molecule: ribosomal RNA, 517 nt
Filed under: uncultured bacterium
Lineage: Bacteria
Description: bacterial SSU rRNA
Rfam family: Bacterial small subunit ribosomal RNA
Source: RNAcentral
ACAGGGACGUAACGGUCCCCUUACUUCGGUACAUCCAAGACAGGUGGUGCAUGGUUGUCGUCAGCUCGUGUCGUGAGAUGUUGGGUUAAGUCCCGCAACGAGCGCAACCCUUAUCUUCAGUAGCCAGCAGGUAAAGCCGGGCACUCUGGAGAGACUGCCGGGGAUAACCCGGAGGAAGGUGGGGAUGACGUCAAAUCAUCAUGCCCCUUAUGAUUUGGGCUACACACGUGCUACAAUGGCGUAAACAGAGGGAAGCGAGCCCGCGAGGGGGAGCAAAUCCCAAAAAUAACGUCCCAGUUCGGAUUGUAGUCUGCAACCCGACUACAUGAAGCUGGAAUCGCUAGUAAUCGCGGAUCAGAAUGCCGCGGUGAAUACGUUCCCGGGUCUUGUACACACCGCCCGUCACACCAUGGGAGUCGGAAAUGCCCGAAGUCUGUGACCUAACCGUAAGGGAGGAGCAGCCGAAGGCAGGUCGGAUGACUGGGGUGAAGUCGUAACAAGGUAGCCGUAUCGGAAG